RNAcentral lists this long non-coding RNA (1020 nucleotides) under Bos grunniens (domestic yak). RNAcentral's name for it is "lncRNA (ENSBGRG00000023125.1)". The record is from RNAcentral. Lineage: Eukaryota; Metazoa; Chordata; Mammalia; Artiodactyla; Bovidae.
AAAGAGAGAAGACGUCUCAGAAGGUUGCAGGGUGAAUAUAUUCUUCGGCUGCAGCCGAACCCCCCAGGGCGAAGGGGCCGGAGCCCGGGAGCGCGUGGGGUCGGGGCUGCGGGCUGGAGCUGGGCCCGCGUGUCCCCGGGCACCGGGAGGGAGGAGGGAGGGAGGGCGGGAAGGAGGGAAGGAGGCAGGGGGCGGGCUGGGGUGGGGGCGAGGGGAGGGCGCCCCGUGUGCUGCCUGAGGAGCAGCGGCGGCGGCGGCGGCGGCGGCGGCGGCGGGAGGGAGGGAAGGAGGGAGGCGAGCGGGCGCGCUUGUCAUGUUGCCUCGCUCACCCUGGGGGCAUCGUGCAGAACCUCUCCUCGGAAAUCCACGGGGAAAUGGCAAACAGGAUUGACGGGUUUCACACGCUCCUCGCUAGACAGAGCCGCUCAUUACCAUAACCGUCUGCAGCGACGGCGGCGCGGCGCCCCAGUCGCGGCGGCGGGACCUGCCGGGACCCUCGCCCGCCGCGUACCCGCGGCCGCCACCAGCACCAGCACCGGCACCCGCGCCUCCCUGGACCGGGCCGGGCCCCGCACGCGCGGAGUGUGCACCGGCGGCCGGGCUGGCGCCGAGCCCGGAGCGGGCCAGCAGCAGCUCGAGCGCCGCGGCCGCCGCCGCCUCCCGGCUGACCCCGCGGUAAGAGCCGGGCUGGGCGCGGGCGGCGGGCGGCGGGCGGCGGCCGGGGGCGGAGAGGCCGGGCCGGGUUGGAGGGCGACGGCCGGUCCCCUCCGGCGUCUGCGGUCGUGGACCGGCUCCCCCGCGCCCCCCGCCGGCCCGGCGAUCGCCGAGUGGGCGCGCACCGGCCGGAGCGGGACCCGGGCGGUCGGUGGAGGGGGUGGAGGGGUGGAAGAAGGGGAGAAGCCGGGGAGCCUCUGCGCGCGGAGGCGGCGCGGGCUUUUCUCCGCGGGGCUGGCGUGCGCCGCGGAGCCUGUACCCGGGCGGGAGCGGCCGCCGCCCGCGCGCGCACCGAGCCGACUCUAG